GAGACGCUGGCGGCACGCUUAACACAUGCAAGUCGAACGAAGCAAUUUCACCGUAGCUUGCUACACCGAAAUUGCUUAGUGGCGGACGGGUGAGUAACGCGUGGGUAACCUGCCUCAUACAGGGGGAUAACAGUUAGAAAUGACUGCUAAUACCGCAUAAGCGCACAGUACCGCAUGGUACAGUGUGAAAAACUCCGGUGGUAUGAGAUGGACCCGCGUCUGAUUAGCUAGUUGGUAAGGUAACGGGCUUUACCAAGGCGACGAUCAGUAGCCGGUCUGAGAGGAUGAACGGCCACAUUGGGACUGAGAUACGGCCCAGACUCCUACGGGAGGCAGCAGUGGGGAAUAUUGGGCAAUGGGGGAAACCCUGACCCAGCAACGCCGCGUGAAGGAAGAAGGCCUUCGGGUUGUAAACUUCUUUUACCAGGGACGAAGAACGUGACGGUACCUGGAGAAAAAGCAACGGCUAACUACGUG
Molecule: ribosomal RNA, 477 nt
Filed under: uncultured bacterium
Lineage: Bacteria
Description: bacterial SSU rRNA
Rfam family: Bacterial small subunit ribosomal RNA
Source: RNAcentral